This 408-nucleotide ribosomal RNA is filed under the name uncultured bacterium. RNAcentral's name for it is "bacterial SSU rRNA". It matches the Rfam family "Bacterial small subunit ribosomal RNA", at positions 985 to 1396 of the family's 1533-position model. The record is from RNAcentral.
AGGGUAGAGACUUUCAGAGAUGGAUUGGUGCCUUCGGGACUCUGAUACAGGUGCUGCAUGGCUGUCGUCAGCUCGUGUCGUGAGAUGUUGGGUUAAGUCCCGCAACGAGCGCAACCCUUAUCCUUUGUUGCCAGCGGUUCGGGCGGGAACUUUAAGGAAACUGCCCGUGAUAAACUGGAGGAAGGGGGGGAUGACGUCCAGUCAUCAUGGCCCUUACGAGUAGGGCUACACACGUGCUACAAUGGCGCAUACAAAGGGAAGCGACCUCGCGAGAGGGAGCGGAUCUCAUAAAGUGCGUCGUAAUCCGGAUUGGAGUCUGCAACUCCACUCCAUGAAGUCGGAAUCGCUAGUAAUCGUGGAUCAGAAUGCCACGGUGAAUACGUUCCCGGGUCUUGUACACACCGAAGA